AGGAUUAUAGUUUAAAUAAAAUUUUUGAUUUGCAUUCAAAAGAAAUUAAUAAUAUUAAUUUAUCUUA
Molecule: transfer RNA, 67 nt
Filed under: Barbourion lemaii
Lineage: Eukaryota; Metazoa; Arthropoda; Insecta; Lepidoptera; Sphingidae
Description: tRNA-Ala
Source: RNAcentral